UUCUAAAAAUAUUUCAAUGGGUCUUAUCACAGAUUCUUUUUUUUUAAAUUAAAGUAACAUUUCCAAUCUACUAAUGCUAAUACUGUUUCAUAUUUAUAGCUGAUUUGAUGGAGUUGGACAUGGCCAUGGAACCAGACAGAAAAGCGGCUGUUAGUCACUGGCAGCAACAGUCUUACCUGGACUCUGGAAUCCAUUCUGGUGCCACUACCACAGCUCCUUCUCUGAGUGGUAAAGGCAAUCCUGAGGAAGAGGAUGUGGAUACCUCCCAAGUCCUGUAUGAGUGGGAACAGGGAUUUUCUCAGUCCUUCACUCAAGAACAAGUAGCUGAUAUUGAUGGACAGUAUGCAAUGACUCGAGCUCAGAGGGUACGAGCUGCUAUGUUCCCCGAGACAUUAGAUGAGGGCAUGCAGAUCCCAUCUACACAGUUUGAUGCUGCUCAUCCCACUAAUGUCCAGCGUUUGGCUGAACCAUCACAGAUGCUGAAACAUGCAGUUGUAAACUUGAUUAACUAUCAAGAUGAUGCAGAACUUGCCACACGUGCAAUCCCUGAACUGACAAAACUGCUAAAUGACGAGGACCAGGUGGUGGUUAAUAAGGCUGCAGUUAUGGUCCAUCAGCUUUCUAAAAAGGAAGCUUCCAGACACGCUAUCAUGCGUUCUCCUCAGAUGGUGUCCGCUAUUGUACGUACCAUGCAGAAUACAAAUGAUGUAGAAACAGCUCGUUGUACCGCUGGGACCUUACAUAACCUUUCCCAUCAUCGUGAGGGCUUACUGGCCAUCUUUAAGUCUGGAGGCAUUCCUGCCC
Molecule: small RNA, 804 nt
Filed under: Pan troglodytes (chimpanzee)
Lineage: Eukaryota; Metazoa; Chordata; Mammalia; Primates; Hominidae
Description: retained intron
Source: RNAcentral